UACGUAGGGCGCGAGCGUUGUCCGGAUCUAUUGGGCGUAAAGAGCUCGUAGGCGGCUCAUUGCGUCAACCGUGAAAACCAGCAGCUCAACUGUUGGCUUGCGGUUGAUACGGGUGGGCUGGAGUUCGGUAGGGGAGACUGGAAUUCCUGGUGUAGCGGUGAAAUGCGCAGAUAUCAGGAGGAACACCGGUGGCGAAGGCGGGUCUCUGGGCCGAUACUGACGCUGAGGAGCGAAAGCGUGGGGAGCGAACAGG
Molecule: ribosomal RNA, 253 nt
Filed under: uncultured prokaryote
Description: partial 16S ribosomal RNA
Rfam family: Bacterial small subunit ribosomal RNA
Source: RNAcentral